This 253-nucleotide unclassified non-coding RNA is filed under the name uncultured Chlamydiales bacterium. RNAcentral describes it as "contains 16S-23S intergenic spacer region". It matches the Rfam family "Bacterial small subunit ribosomal RNA", at positions 524 to 776 of the family's 1533-position model. The record is from RNAcentral. Lineage: Bacteria; Pseudomonadati; Chlamydiota; Chlamydiia; Chlamydiales.
UACGGAGGGUGCAAGCGUUAAUCGGAUUUAUUGGGCGUAAAGGGCGUCUAGGCGGGAGCAUAAGUCAGACGUGAAAGCCCGGAGCUCAACUCCGGAAUUGCGUUUGAAACUGUGUUUCUUGAGGGUAGACGGGGGAAACGGAAUUCCACGUGUAGCGGUGAAAUGCGUAGAUAUGUGGAAGAACACCGGUGGCGAAGGCGGUUUCCUAGUUUACACCUGACGCUGAAGCGCGAAAGCAAGGGGAUCAAACAGG